GGCGCGGAAAUGUCAGAGAGAGGCAAGGGGUCAUAAAAAGGAGGCUUUUGGGCCACAGAAGCCUGAGAAGACUUUGCAAUAGGAGCUCACCUACCUCCCUCCCUGCCUUUAGUGGCCUGAAGAGGCUGCCUACCAACAAAAGCAGGCCUAGCAAGAUAUUUCCUCUAAAACUUAGGGUUGGGAAACACAAAAAUAUAUUUAAGGUCUUGCAAGGCUUUACCUUUUUCUUGAAAAGAUUUAAACAUGGAAGCAGAACAGUAUGAAAGAGUUUUUAACUAUCCAAAGAAGCAUCCAGUAAUUUGGCCUUAAUCUAAUGAUUACAGACGAGGUCAAGAAUAACGCCCCAUGACAGAUCCAAAGGCAGCACCUCUGGAAGAGGCAUUAGCAGUGUCAUAGCUGCACUUAGUACAGUGGCAAGCCACACAAAAGGUACAACCCAAAACAGAGAGAGCAGAAGACUUUCCUUCAGAACCAAAAGGUACAACCCAAAACAGAGAGAGCAGAAGACUUUCCUUCAGAAUCAGGCAUGGCAGAAGUAACCUGACAAGUCUGUGCGAUCAAGGUCAAAGCAUACCUGGUCAUGCAGGGCCUGGUGUUAGUGGCCCUAAAGGCCAAGGUGGCAGCAGUAUAAACCUUCUUUCUGAUCCUCUCCAUAGCCCUACUAUCUUUAUAUGAAGGCAGGAGCUUGGUAAAUGGAAAAAAAACUUAGAAGGCCUGCCACAGGAGACUGACAAUACAGCAAGAUCAACAGAAGGACGCAAACAGGAAUUGACAAUCCUCAGGAGCCUU
This is a long non-coding RNA of Protopterus annectens (West African lungfish), 789 nucleotides long. RefSeq lists it as uncharacterized. The transcript is spliced from 2 exons. Lineage: Eukaryota; Metazoa; Chordata; Ceratodontiformes; Protopteridae. The record is from RefSeq and is a predicted model, not a curated record.